This 91-nucleotide transfer RNA is filed under the name Macrolepiota fuliginosa MF-IS2. It matches the Rfam family "tRNA". From Rfam's summary of the family: Transfer RNA (tRNA) molecules are approximately 80 nucleotides in length. The record is from Rfam by way of RNAcentral. Lineage: Eukaryota; Fungi; Basidiomycota; Agaricomycetes; Agaricales; Agaricaceae.
GCCCGCCUAGCUCAAUCGGAUAGAGCGUCAGACUCUUACCUCAGGCGGGUUUGUAAUCUGAAGGCUGCGAGUUCGACCCUCGCGGUGGGCU